Molecule: ribosomal RNA, 188 nt
Filed under: uncultured rumen bacterium
Lineage: Bacteria
Description: partial 16S ribosomal RNA
Rfam family: Bacterial small subunit ribosomal RNA
Source: RNAcentral
UACGGGAGGCAGCAGUGAGGAAUAUUGGUCAAUGGGCGAGAGCCUGAACCAGCCAAGUAGCGUGCAGGAUGACGGCCCUAUGGGUUGUAAACUGCUUUUAUACAGGGAUAAAGUCGGGGACGUGUUCCCUGUUUGCAGGUACUGUAUGAAUAAGGACCGGCUAAUUCCGUGCCAGCAGCCGCGGUAAU